GGCCGUGGACCUGCGCUUCCUCCCCUCCGGCCUUUUCUGGACCCUCCGCCACAGAGGGGAAGUGGGAAACCGCCGCUGCUUUCCCGCCGCUUCGCCUCAGCCCGCGAGGGUCAGCCUGCAGGUCCCUUGGAACUCACGCCACACGUUACAUGGAUGAGGGUGUCCUGCUGCGGUUGUGUUAUUUGGUGACCAUUCCCUAGUUCGUUGCUCGAUGCUCAUGUCCUUGCUUAACUGGACGGUCUGACUCAGCCAGUGGUCUUCUGCGUGUGCUCCCUGGAGCCCAGUUAGAGGCUCUCAGAAGCUGCAAUACAGCCCUCAACUCCUCGAGCAGAGAAGCUCUGCUUCCUUCGUGCAUUGGCUUCUGCAUAGAAUUUAGUUUAGUAAAACGCUGUGGAGAUAAAGUUUGAAAACCACUGGAGUCAAUGACCACCCCCACACACCACUCACAACCACAUAAAAUUCUUGGGUUUUCUGAUUCAACAGUUUGCUCCCAAAGUUGGAACCCCUCCUUUAAAAAGACAGGAUUCAUGUGGGCCUUGGUCUCAUCUUUCCAGCCAGACUUUAAAUCCUGAGAAGGCUGCAUUUGGGCUCGUGGUUCUCGGCUUCCCAUGACAAGCUUCCCGUUUGGGCUCAUGGAAUCUCAGCUUUGGCUGGAUUUACAGAAGUUGUUCCACAAAGUUCUGGGCUGGAUGCCCUGACAGGACAGCAGAGAGGCGAGGUGAGCAUCUAAUCGACCUUGGGGAGUUCUCAGGGGUGUAGGGACCCCCGUCCAGGGGUCACUGGGGCCCCUGAGCUCCACUGUACUUGGCAUAGCUGAAAGGAGCUAUGGUAUCUUUGCUAAUCCCCAUAGCCUUGAGAGAAGUGCCAGCAUCACCCCAUUGCUCCAAUGAGAAACCAUGGCUCAGAGAAGGCCACUGCAAAUGUGACUUCCAGCCAACUAUUAAGGAAACCAAGGGACAUAGUGAGGAGGAAAGAAGAGGAGGAAGAGGCCUGAUGCACCAGCAAAUGUUUGGCCUGCUGGGAAGACUGGUGUGCGCAUAGAAACCAAACACUGAAGUCUAGGAUGCUACUAGGAGGAAAAAAAGGCCAGUGUGAACUUGAGCUGUAUGAGAGGUGGUGUUCAUGGGCCCAAAGAAACCCUUUUUCAAAGGCCUGUAGCAGUGAGUUGCCUGCUAGAGCAAUGAGCAAUGGUGGUGAUCCCUUUCCAGAAGGACAUGGAAAUCUGGAGAGGGGUCAGAGAAGGAAGUCAGGAGUUAGAAGCUAGUGCCUAUGAGAGAAAAACAAAACACAACAAAAAAAUGCGUAAAAGAAAUUGGGAUUAUAUCACCUAAAGAACAUAAAGCAUAGAAGGAACUUGAUAACUAUCUUCAAACAGAUGGAGGGUCUCUAGAGGACGCUGAAUAGAGUCACAGAAUUUCUGAAUUGAAAAGAACCAAAUACCCUCACUUUGCAGAUAAGAGAAUUUGGGUUUAAAAAAAAGACUUGCCCCAAGUCCCCAAGUCUUUUGGCCAACGGUGGCAGAAUUAGAGCUAAUAUCAAAGUCUGCUGGUUCCAAAUAAUGUUAUUUCCAGCAUAACAUGAGAAAACCAUCUUCAUCUUCACAAAGAGCAAAGAAAAAGUAGGAGUAAAAUUAAAGCAGAAACAAUUUCAAUCCAAACUAAGGAACAAUGCCUUCAAAGUCAGAAGGGUGAAAGACUGAAACGAGUUAGGCCUCCAGCCCCAAUAAUCUUCCUGGAGAAAAGGGGCAACCAGCUGUCCCAAUUGGCUUUGCCCAUGAUUCCUAUUUGAGAAAUGAACAUUUUAAACCAUUACUUGAUUUUCUAGUCCUCACAGGUGUCACUGUGUUUCUACAUACACUAAGAAUAUAUUUAACUAAAAUGCAUUAAAAUUCAAGCAUUUCACAGUACUCCAAACUAUUGACGGAAAGUAUGUCCACAGGGUACUGCAAAACUGAGUCAGAUUCAGCUCACUAGUUUCAAAAUGCAUCUGCCAGCUCUCAUGCCCUAUUUGUGGGUAACUGGUGUCACUUUUGGAGAGGGAAGUUUGGCAAUAACUAUGACGAUUUA
Non-coding RNA from Vicugna pacos (alpaca), 2066 nucleotides. The record is from RefSeq and is a predicted model, not a curated record. Lineage: Eukaryota; Metazoa; Chordata; Mammalia; Artiodactyla; Camelidae.